CUCNUGGUGUAGCGGUGGAAUGCGCAGAUAUCAGGAAGAACACCGGUGGCGAAGGCGGGUCUCUGGGCCGUUACUGACGCUGAGGAGCGAAAGCGUGGGGAGCGAACAGGAUUAGAUACCCUGGUAGUNCACGCCGUAAACGUUGGGCACUAGGUGUGGGGGGCCUUUUCCGGNUCUUCCGCGCCGUAGCUAACGCAUUAAGUGCCCCGCCUGGGGAGUACGGCCGCAAGGCUAAAACUCAAAGGAAUUGACGGGGGCCCGCACAAGCGGCGGAGCAUGCGGAUUAAUUCGAUGCAACGCGAAGAACCUUGCCAAGGCUUGACAUGUGCCGGUCGGCUCCGGAGACGGGGUUUCCUCCUUGUGGGGCCGGUUCACAGGUGGUGCAUGGUUGUCGUCAGCUCGUGUCGUGAGAUGUUGGGUUAAGUCCCGCAACGAGCGCAACCCUUGUCCCGUGUUGCCAGCACGUUGUGGUGGGGACUCGCGGGAGACUGCCGGGGUCAACUCGGAGGAAGGUGGGGAUGACGUCAAAUCAUCAUGCCCCUUAUGUCUUGGGCUUCACGCAUGCUACAAUGGCCGGUACAGAGGGCUGCGAUACCGUGAGGUGGAGCGAAUCCCUUAAAGCCGGUCUCAGUUCGGAUCGGUGUCUGCAACUCGACACCGUGAAGUUGGAGUCGCUAGUAAUCGCAGAUCAGCAACGCUGCGGUGAAUACGUUCUCGGGCCUUGUAC
This 727-nucleotide ribosomal RNA is filed under the name uncultured bacterium. Its description in RNAcentral is "bacterial SSU rRNA". It matches the Rfam family "Bacterial small subunit ribosomal RNA", at positions 667 to 1386 of the family's 1533-position model. The record is from RNAcentral.